This is a non-coding RNA of Caenorhabditis elegans, 821 nucleotides long. NCBI's taxonomy places the organism in Eukaryota, Metazoa, Nematoda, Chromadorea, Rhabditida, Rhabditidae. The record is from Ensembl.
CUGCUACAGCAGACUUUUGUAAUGGUUGAGGUAUUUCCGAUAUUCGUCGCAAUUCGCACAGAAACAAAAGCUAGCUAAUGCCGACGGCACCUUAAAGGAGUUGGAAGUAGGAAACCCUUCUCUGCAGCAAUAAUCUGCAGCUGUGCAACUGUCCAAUCUAAUUUUUUUUUCUCUCUUGAUUUCCGAAUAGAUAUGAAGAUUUAUUAAUUUAUUAGCUUUUAAUGGUGUUUUAUUGGGGUUUUGCUGUUUUAAAUUCGAAAAAAAAAUUAGGCAUUUUUAAGUUAGAAACUCAAAUUUUCAGGAAUUUUUAGAUGGGAUUUUUGAAAUUCCGAGCGUUUUUACAUGGGAAUCUCGAAAAUUCAGACAUUUUUAUGUUGGAAACUCAAAAUUUCAAGCGUUUUUACGUGGGAAAUUUGAUAUUGUAAGAAUCUUCACGAUCCUUGUACUUUCCCACCGCCAUACAAGAGCAUUACUUCCGUAUAGUCUUACAGGUCCAGCAAGUGCUGCCGUAGCGGAUAACAUCACGGUUAUCCGGCCAGAACCGCUGCCCAAGACAACGACUAGGCCUGCCAACGUUUGGAGGUCACGAUGCAAGCGCGCCCCACCGGACGGCGCGCGGAUCUGAAUUGCCGGCGCCAACUCUAAUUGUCACCAUUCUGGAAUGUUCUUGGCCCCGCCCAAUUCCCCUAUAAAAGGAGCAGAAACGCUCAUUCGAGGCCUUUUCCUUUACUUUUAACCCGUUGUCACGUGUUCGUUGUUUGCCCACAAUAACCUGCUUUUCUGUAAAUUACUUUAUUAACUAAUAAACCUGCUCAUGACAA